This is a long non-coding RNA of Dendrobium catenatum, 1104 nucleotides long. RefSeq lists it as uncharacterized. The transcript is spliced from 3 exons. The record is from RefSeq and is a predicted model, not a curated record. NCBI's taxonomy places the organism in Eukaryota, Viridiplantae, Streptophyta, Magnoliopsida, Asparagales, Orchidaceae.
UUUUUUUUUUUUUUGGAUUUUAUUAUAAUGUGUUGUAAAGAUAUUUAUUGUAAUUGAUUGAUCAUAUACAUAUGAAGAUUUAAGUUGUAUAUUUUAGACUGUGGAAAGAUUAUAUAAUUGUAGAUUUAUGAAAUAAAAAUGUUGAUUUGAAAAAAUAAAAUAUUGAUUUAUCAAAUUCUUAUUUGAGCUUGCUCUCAUUGGUUUUUAUCUGCUACUCGAUGCAUUCUUAUUAAGACUGAUUUAUGAUGCUGAUGCAUAUUAUAAAGAAUGCAGACCUUGAAGAACUACGUGAAUUGGGAUCAAGUACUUUUGGUUAGCAGUGCUAAGUGAAAUGGUACUAAAUUCCAUAAGCUUUAUGUAAAUAAAGAAUCACAAACUAAUUUGGUGAUCUCUAUCUUUGUUCCAUCAUCUAAACAAAUUUGUGAUGGUUUUGUUUGUGUGAUAGAGAUUUUAUCAUAUUCAUUACAGCAUUGAUUUUUUAUAUUCAUACUGUGAAUUUAGAUCUUUGCAGAACUUUACCUACCUAUUCUUGCCUUGAUUUUAGGUUGGAGGAAGCUCUUACUAUGUGAACUUUGGUCAUAGCUUGGGUGGCGCUGGUUAUUUGCGUGGUAGUGGCUCUAGGUCAUACUACUAAGGGAGGCUAUCAAUCAGUAGAACAUCUAUCAGAAUUUUAUGAACUUUGCUUUGAGGAAGACAUGCUGCCAAGCGGGAUUGCAGUAUUUGAAGCAUCAACAUCGGUAGUGCCCUGCUCUAAUAACAACUCUACGACCACUUUCUCUCCUGCACCCACAUGUUUGCCCAGAACCCCGCCGUAGCCUCAAUGCACCAGCAAAUAUUGUGGCACGGGCUAGUACUCAUGAGUUUGGUAAGCAGUAUAGGGGUAUCCAUGCUGGCCGUCGAGAUCGUCAGUUUUUGUAUAGUAGGUUUAGGCUUUGUCGGACGUGUCGAUAUGAUGUGUCCCUUUUGACUUGCCUUACUUUCUUGGGUAAUUCUGAUCGCAUUGUCACUGGAAGCUACUCUGGUGAAGUAAAAAUUUUUGAUACUAGCAAUGGCAAUUUAUUAAAGAGUUAUGGUAUCCAUCAGAAACCCGUUCUUAUGAUUCAG